ACGAGGUGUGCAAGCGUUGCUCGGAAUCACUGGGCAUAAAGGGUGCGUAGGCGGUGUGGUCAGUCGGAUGUGAAAUCCCUCGGCUUAACCGGGGAACUGCAUCCGAUACUACCACGCUUGAGGGUGAAAGGGGCAAGCGGAAUUCCAGGUGUAGCGGUGGAAUGCGUUGAUAUCUGGGAGAACGCCAAAGGCGAAGGCAGCUUGCUGGGUCACCUCUGACGCUGAGGCACGAAAGCUAGGGGAGCAAACAG
RNAcentral lists this ribosomal RNA (251 nucleotides) under uncultured prokaryote. RNAcentral's name for it is "partial 16S rRNA". It matches the Rfam family "Bacterial small subunit ribosomal RNA", at positions 525 to 775 of the family's 1533-position model. The record is from RNAcentral.